GACGGGACCGCACAAGCGGUGGAUGAUGUGGAUUAAUUCGAUGCAACGCGAAAACCUUACCUACCCUUGACAUGUCCGGAAUCCCGAAGAGAUUUGGGAGUGCUCGCAAGAGAACCGGAACACAGGUGCUGCAUGGCUGUCGUCAGCUCGUGUCGUGAGAUGUUGGGUUAAGUCCCGCAACGAGCGCAACCCUUGUCAUUAGUUGCCAUCAUUUGGUUGGGCACUCUAAUGAGACUGCCGGUGACAAACCGGAGGAAGGUGGGGAUGACGUCAAGUCCUCAUGGCCCUUAUAGGUGGGGCUACACACGUCAUACAAUGGCUGGUACAAAGGGUUGCCAACCCGCGAGGGGGAGCCAAUCCCAUAAAGCCAGUCGUAGUCCGGAUCGCAGUCUGCAACUCGACUGCGUGAAGUCGGAAUCGCUAGUAAUCGUGGAUCAGCAUGUCACGGUGAAUACGUUCCCGGGUCUU
Molecule: ribosomal RNA, 468 nt
Filed under: uncultured Rhodocyclaceae bacterium
Lineage: Bacteria; Pseudomonadati; Pseudomonadota; Betaproteobacteria; Rhodocyclales; Rhodocyclaceae
Description: bacterial SSU rRNA
Rfam family: Bacterial small subunit ribosomal RNA
Source: RNAcentral